This 75-nucleotide transfer RNA is filed under the name Blastopirellula marina. RNAcentral's name for it is "tRNA-Gly". It matches the Rfam family "tRNA". From Rfam's summary of the family: Transfer RNA (tRNA) molecules are approximately 80 nucleotides in length. Their secondary structure includes four short double-helical elements and three loops (D, anti-codon, and T loops). Lineage: Bacteria; Pseudomonadati; Planctomycetota; Planctomycetia; Pirellulales; Pirellulaceae. The record is from RNAcentral.
GCGGAAGUAGCUCAGUGGUAGAGCGCUAGCUUCCCAAGCUGGAUGUCGCGGGUUCGACCCCCGUCUUCCGCUCUA